UGCCCCUUACUGACGUCUUAUCUUGCAGGCCUUCAGAUGCUAGUAGUGUUCUGCCAAGAUCAUCCACCAUCACUGUCCUGAGGUUUGACGGCAUUUUGUUCUCCCGGUGUGGUAGCAUACAUUCUGCUUGGCUACCAGGUAGCAGGACAGCACAAGGGAGGCCGACGCCAACGCAAUAGCCAGCGCAGCAUGCCACCAUUUUUCAG
RNAcentral lists this long non-coding RNA (206 nucleotides) under Setaria italica (foxtail millet). Its description in RNAcentral is "long non-coding RNA (SITA_LNC006249)". Lineage: Eukaryota; Viridiplantae; Streptophyta; Magnoliopsida; Poales; Poaceae. The record is from RNAcentral.